GACGAACGCUGGCGGCGUGCUUAACACAUGCAAGUCGAACGGAAAGGCCCUGCUUUUGUGGGGUGCUCGAGUGGCGAACGGGUGAGUAACACGUGAGUAACCUGUCCUUGACUUUGGGAUAACUUCAGGAAACUGGGGCUAAUACCGGAUAGGAGCUCCUGCUGCAUGGUGGGGGUUGGAAAGUUUCGGCGGUUGGGGAUGGACUCGCGGCUUAUCAGCUUGUUGGUGGGGUAGUGGCUUACCAAGGCUUUGACGGGCAGCCGGCCUGAGAGGGUGACCGGCCACAUUGGGACUGAGAUACGGCCCAGACUCCUACGGGAGGCAGCAGUGGGGAAUAUUGCACAAUGGGCGGAAGCCUGAUGCAGCAACGCCGCGUGCGGGAUGACGGCCUUCGGGUUGUAAACCGCUUUCGCCUGUGACGAAGCGUGAGUGGCGGUAAUGGGUAAAGAAGCACCGGCUAACUACGUG
This 468-nucleotide ribosomal RNA is filed under the name uncultured bacterium. Its description in RNAcentral is "partial 16S ribosomal RNA". It matches the Rfam family "Bacterial small subunit ribosomal RNA", at positions 28 to 507 of the family's 1533-position model. The record is from RNAcentral.